RNAcentral lists this ribosomal RNA (431 nucleotides) under uncultured Acidocella sp. Its description in RNAcentral is "bacterial SSU rRNA". It matches the Rfam family "Bacterial small subunit ribosomal RNA", at positions 505 to 940 of the family's 1533-position model. Lineage: Bacteria; Pseudomonadati; Pseudomonadota; Alphaproteobacteria; Acetobacterales; Acidocellaceae. The record is from RNAcentral.
GUGCCAGCCGCAGCGGUAAUACGAAGGGGCUAGCGUUGCUCGGAAUGACUGGGCGUAAAGGGCGUGUAGGCGGCAUGUACAGUCAGAAGUGAAAUUCCUGGGCUCAACCUGGGGACUGCUUUUGAUACGUGCAAGCUUGAGUGAGGAAGAGGGUUGUGGAAUUUCCAGUGUAGAGGUGAAAUUCGUAGAUAUUGGAAAGAACACCGGUGGCGAAGGCGGCAACCUGGUCCUUUACUGACGCUGAGGCGCGAAAGCGUGGGAGCAAACAGGAUUAGAUACCCUGGUAGUCCACGCUGUAACGAUGUGUGCUGGAUGUUGGGGAACUUAGUUUUUCAGUGUCGUAGCUAACGCGAUAAGCACACCGCCUGGGAGUACGGCCGCAAGGUUGAAACUCAAAGGAUUGACGGGGCCGCGACGAAGCGGUGGAGCGA